AGAGAGAGAGAGAGAGAGAGAGAGAGCAAGAUGAGUGGUGCAGUUCUGGUGGCUGUUGCUGCAGCAAUGGGUAACUUACUACAAGGAUGGGAUAAUGCUACUAUUGCUGGGAAAGCUUUGGUUUCUCCAAUUGAGAGAUAUGCAGUUGUUCCUGAUGACAACGCCAAAAGGAUAAAUUUUGCCGAGGGGAAGAUCUGAUUCUAGAAGUAAGGAAUUUGCAGCUUGAUUUUUGAAAUAGGCUCAAAAUUGAGAUCUUGUUGGAAAUUUUUUAUUUUUUUAUUUUUUGUAAGAGCAUUUAAAUAUUCAAUGUGCUGAUUGGUGAAUUUUAGAUUUUAUUUUAUUAUUUUAUAGGAUUUGGGUGAAUUUUCUAAUUUAAAUAUACU
Molecule: non-coding RNA, 383 nt
Organism: Camellia sinensis
Lineage: Eukaryota; Viridiplantae; Streptophyta; Magnoliopsida; Ericales; Theaceae
Source: RefSeq, a predicted model, not a curated record